UGAUGAUUAUAUUGCGCCUAGAUUAACCAAGUAAUGUUUAGAAACUGGGGUGUUAGUGGUUCAUCUUUUCUUGAUUAGCUGAGA
Molecule: small nucleolar RNA, 84 nt
Filed under: Oryza sativa (Asian cultivated rice)
Lineage: Eukaryota; Viridiplantae; Streptophyta; Magnoliopsida; Poales; Poaceae
Description: Z198a small nucleolar RNA
Source: RNAcentral